UAAGGAAUAUUGGUCAAUGGACGCAAGUCUGAACCAGCCAUGCCGCGUGAAGGAUGAAGGUCCUCUGGAUUGUAAACUUCUUUUAGACGGGACAAAACCCCUUUACGUGUAAAGGGUUGAUGGUACUGUCAGAAUAAGCAUCGGCUAACUUCGUGCCAGCAGCCGCGGUAAUACGAAGGAUGCAAGCGUUAUCCGGAAUUAUUGGGUUUAAAGGGUGCGUAGGCGGACUAAUAAGUCAGUGGUGAAAGCCUGCAGCUUAACUGCAGAAUUGCCAUUGAUACUGUUAGUCUUGAGUACAGUUGAGGUAGGCGGAAUGUGUCAUGUAGCGGUGAAAUGCUUAGAUAUGACACAGAACACCGAUUACGAAGGCAGCUUGCUAAGCUGUAACUGACGCUGAGGCACGAAAGCGUGGGGAGCAAACA
RNAcentral lists this ribosomal RNA (422 nucleotides) under uncultured bacterium. Its description in RNAcentral is "bacterial SSU rRNA". It matches the Rfam family "Bacterial small subunit ribosomal RNA", at positions 355 to 774 of the family's 1533-position model. The record is from RNAcentral.